GUAUACCCCAGGGCUUAAGUGGCUGUGAAAACACAAGAUGAAGGCAUCAUUCAUUCACUCAAUUAUUUUUUUUUUUUUCCCUGUAAAUUAUGGGAUGUCAUCAAGUGGUGAUGGUCCCAAGAUAAGACAUGUGGUUCUCAGAAAUCUACAUCUUCUCAGCAAUCUGUCUUCUCAGCCCUCUGCAUCACAGCCAUCAACAUUAGUAGAGCUUUGCAGCUACUCUGAUUCCCUAACUCUUAUUCUGAGUCACCAUUAUCAGUCACAGCAGUUUACAUCUCAUCUCUCCACCAUGAAAAGUUUCAGAAGUGCCUGGCAGAUGGCAGGCCCGAGGACUGCCCUCCCAACCAACCACCUCUUUCACUCCCUGCUUACGAGAACAUCAGUCAACAUCUCACCCUAGGACUGGCUCCUGGCAACCCUCAACAGAUAUCUGCCUAGUGUACCCAUUUCAUUAAUAAAGCCCAGUUCU
Non-coding RNA from Cherax quadricarinatus, 469 nucleotides. The record is from RefSeq and is a predicted model, not a curated record. Lineage: Eukaryota; Metazoa; Arthropoda; Malacostraca; Decapoda; Parastacidae.